AUUGAACGCUGGCGGCAGGCCUAACACAUGCAAGUCGAGCGAGCGGCGGACGGGUGAGCAAUGUAUGGGGACUGCCCGAUAGAGGGGGCUAACUACUGGAAACGGUGGCUAAUACCGCAUACUAUCGGAUAACCCAUAUGGGAUUAGCUAGUAGGUGGGGUAAAGGCUCACCUAGGCGACGAUCUCUAGCUGGUCUGAGAGGAUGAUCAGCCACACUGGGACUGAGACGCGGCCCAGACUCGUACGGAGGCAGCAGUGGGGAAUAUUGCGCAAUGGGAGCAAGCCUGAUGCAGCCAUGCCGCGUGUAUGAAGAAGGCCUUAGGGUUGUAAAGUACUUUCGGCGGGGAGGCGUUACCCGCAGAGGAAGCCCCGGCUAACUCCGUGCCAGCAGCCGCGGUAAUAC
This 403-nucleotide ribosomal RNA is filed under the name uncultured bacterium. RNAcentral describes it as "partial 16S ribosomal RNA". It matches the Rfam family "Bacterial small subunit ribosomal RNA", at positions 30 to 526 of the family's 1533-position model. The record is from RNAcentral.